This 1737-nucleotide ribosomal RNA is filed under the name sediment metagenome. Its description in RNAcentral is "bacterial LSU rRNA". It matches the Rfam family "Bacterial large subunit ribosomal RNA", at positions 190 to 1973 of the family's 2925-position model. The record is from RNAcentral.
GAACUGAAACAUCUAAGUAGCUGCAGGAACAGAAAUCAACCGAGAUUCCCAAAGUAGUGGCGAACGAAAUGGGAAGAGCCUUGUACUCUUUAGCAGCAUUGUUAGCAGAACGGGAUGGAAAGCCCGGCCAUAGCAGGUGAUAGCCCUGUAUGCGAAAACAGCGUUGUGGAACUAGGUGUACGACAAGUAGGGCGGGACACGUGAAAUCCUGUCUGAAGAUGGGGGGACCAUCCUCCAAGGCUAAAUACUCGUAAUCGACCGAUAGUGAACCAGUACCGUGAGGGAAAGGCGAAAAGAACCCCGGGAGGGGAGUGAAAUAGAUCCUGAAACCGCAUGCAUACAAACAGUCGGAGCCUGGAAACGGGUGACGGCGUACCUUUUGUAUAAUGGGUCAGCGACUUACAUUCAGUGGCAAGCUUAACCGAUUAGGGAAGGCGUAGCGAAAGCGAGUCCGAAUAGGGCGUUGAGUCGCUGGGUGUAGACCCGAAACCAGAUGAUCUAUCCAUGGCCAGGUUGAAGGUGCGGUAACACGUACUGGAGGACCGAACCCACUAACGUUGAAAAGUUAGGGGAUGAGCUGUGGAUAGGGGUGAAAGGCUAAACAAAUCUGGAAAUAGCUGGUUCUCUCCGAAAACUAUUUAGGUAGUGCCUCGUGUCUCACCUUCGGGGGUAGAGCACUGUCAUGGUUGGGGGGUCUAUUGCUGAUUACCCCGCCAUAGCAAACUCCGAAUACCGAAGAGUGCAAUCACGGGAGACAGACAUCGGGUGCUAACGUCCGGUGUCAAGAGGGAAACAACCCAGACCGCCAGCUAAGGUCCCAAAGAUUGGCUAAGUGGGAAACGAAGUGGGAAGGCUAAAACAGUCAGGAGGUUGGCUUAGAAGCAGCCACCCUUUAAAGAAAGCGUAAUAGCUCACUGAUCGAGUCGUCCUGCGCGGAAGAUGUAACGGGGCUAAGCCAGUCACCGAAGCUGCGGACGCACGCAAGUGCGUGGUAGGAGAGCGUUCUGUAAGCCUGUGAAGGUGUCUUGUAAAGGAUGCUGGAGGUAUCAGAAGUGCGAAUGCUGACAUGAGUAGCGAUAAAGGGGGUGAAAGGCCCCCUCGCCGUAAGCCCAAGGUUUCCUACGCAACGUUCAUCGGCGUAGGGUGAGUCGGCCCCUAAGGCGAGGCAGAGAUGCGUAGCUGAUGGGAAGCAGGUUAAUAUUCCUGCACCGUCGUAUGAUGCGAUGGGGGGACGGAUCGCGGAAGGUUGUCCGGGUGUUGGAAGUCCCGGUCCCUGCAUUGGAGAAGGCGCUUAGGCAAAUCCGGGCGCGGAAUUCAAGGAUGUGGGGCGAGCGGCCUAGUGCUGCGAAGCAAUUGGAAGUGGUUCCAAGAAAAGCCUCUAAGCUUCAGUCAUACGAGACCGUACCGCAAACCGACACAGGUGGGCGAGAUGAGUAUUCUAAGGCGCUUGAGAGAACUCGGGAGAAGGAACUCGGCAAAUUGACACCGUAACUUCGGAAGAAGGUGUGCCUUUAGUAGGUGAUCCAUUUACUUGGUGAGCCCAAUGAGGCCGCAGAGAAUCGGUGGCUGCAACUGUUUAUUAAAAACACAGCACUCUGCAAACACGAAAGUGGACGUAUAGGGUGUGACGCCUGCCCGGUGCCGGAAGAUUAAAUGAUGGGGUGCAAGCUCUUGAUUGAAGUCCCGGUAAACGGCGGCCGUAACUAUAACGGUCCUAAGGUAGCGAAAUUCCUUGUC